UUUGUUAUUACGCAUUGUGAU
Molecule: non-coding RNA, 21 nt
Filed under: Caenorhabditis elegans
Lineage: Eukaryota; Metazoa; Nematoda; Chromadorea; Rhabditida; Rhabditidae
Source: RNAcentral